AAGUCGUAACAAGGUAUCCGUAGGUGAACCUGCGGAUGGAUCAUUACCAAUUUUAUAUUACUAGUGUGUGUGUCUCCGUCAAAAGAGGUCACACAACUACUAUUGUAAACGUUGAACUAGAUCGUUGGUGUGGAUUGCUUGGGAAUGGACGAAGCGACAAGCCUCUUCCGGACAGGCAAGCCCCACACCGAUAACCUUUUCAUACAAUUUACCAAUACAUACUACAAACAAACAAACAAACAAACAAAAGCUAUAAUAGGACUUAUAUAUUAUACGAGUUGAGUGGGUAAAAGCCUCGGCUCUAAAAAAAAAAUUAAUAACUAUUACAACUUUCAGCAAUGGAUCUCUAGGCUCUC
This 356-nucleotide unclassified non-coding RNA is filed under the name Ramicandelaber taiwanensis. RNAcentral's name for it is "partial internal transcribed spacer region". The stretch from base 1 to 46 matches the Rfam family "Eukaryotic small subunit ribosomal RNA", at positions 1786 to 1831 of the family's 1831-position model. The record is from RNAcentral. Lineage: Eukaryota; Fungi; Kickxellomycota; Ramicandelaberales; Ramicandelaberaceae.